AUUGAACGCUGGCGGCAGGCCUAACACAUGCAAGUCGAGCGGUAGAGAGAAGCUUGCUUCUCUUGAGAGCGGCGGACGGGUGAGUAAUGCCUAGGAAUCUGCCUGGUAGUGGGGGAUAAAGUUCGGAAACGAACGCUAAUACCGCAUACGUCCUACGGGAGAAAGCAGGGGACCUUCGGGCCUUGCGCUAUCAGAUGAGCCUAGGUCGGAUUAGCUAGUUGGUGAGGUAAUGGCUCACCAAGGCGACGAUCCGUAACUGGUCUGAGAGGAUGAUCAGUCACACUGGAACUGAGACACGGUCCAGACUCCUACGGGAGGCAGCAGUGGGGAAUAUUGGACAAUGGGCGAAAGCCUGAUCCAGCAAUGCCGCGUGUGUGAAGAAGGUCUUCGGAUUGUAAAGCACUUUAAGUUGGGAGGAAGGGCAUUAACCUAAUACGUUAGUGUUUUGACGUUACCGACAGAAUAAGCACCGGCUAACUCUGUG
This 484-nucleotide ribosomal RNA is filed under the name uncultured bacterium. RNAcentral's name for it is "partial 16S ribosomal RNA". It matches the Rfam family "Bacterial small subunit ribosomal RNA", at positions 30 to 507 of the family's 1533-position model. The record is from RNAcentral.